This 275-nucleotide ribosomal RNA is filed under the name uncultured bacterium. RNAcentral's name for it is "partial 16S ribosomal RNA". It matches the Rfam family "Bacterial small subunit ribosomal RNA", at positions 338 to 611 of the family's 1533-position model. The record is from RNAcentral.
CCUACGGGUGGCUGCAGUAGGGAAUAUUGGACAAUGGGCGAGAGCCUGAUCCAGCCAUGCCGCGUGCAGGAAGAAGGCCUUCUGGGUUGUAAACUGCUUUUGCCGGGGGAUAAAAUACCCAUGCGUGGGGAAUUGAAGGUACCCGGUGAAUAAGCCACGGCUAACUACGUGCCAGCAGCCGCGGUAAUACGUAGGUGGCGAGCGUUGUCCGGAUUUAUUGGGUUUAAAGGGUGCGUAGGCGGCCCCGUUAGUCAGCGGUGAAAUACGGCAGCUUA